RNAcentral lists this ribosomal RNA (468 nucleotides) under uncultured bacterium. RNAcentral's name for it is "partial 16S ribosomal RNA". It matches the Rfam family "Bacterial small subunit ribosomal RNA", at positions 28 to 507 of the family's 1533-position model. The record is from RNAcentral.
GACGAACGCUGGCGGCGUGCUUAACACAUGCAAGUCGAACGGAAAGGCCCUGCUUUUGUUGGGUGCUCGAGUGCCGCACGGGUGAGUAACACGUGUGUAACCUGCCCUUGACUUUGGGAUAACUUCUCGGAACUGGGGCUAAUACCGGAUAGGAGCUCUUGCACCACGGUGGGGGAUGGUAAGUUUCGGCGGUUGGGGAUGGACUCGCGGGUUAUCAGCUUGUUUGUGGGGUAGUGGCUUACCAAGGCUUUGACGGGUAGCCGGCCUGAGAGGGUGGCCGGCGACAAGGGGACUGAGAGACGGACCAGACUGCAACGGGCGGCAGCAGUGGGGAGUAUUACACAAUGGGCGGAAGUCAGAUGUAGCGACGCCGCGUGCGGGAUGCCGGCCUUUGGGUUAUAAACAGCUUUCGCCGGUGACGAAGCGGGAGUGACGGUAAUGGGUAAAGAAGCACCGGCUAACUACGUG